GGUAAAAUGGCUGAGAGAUAGGCAUUAGACUGUAAAUCUAAGAACAGAGGGAAGUCCUCUUUUUACCA
RNAcentral lists this transfer RNA (68 nucleotides) under Hylomys suillus microtinus. RNAcentral's name for it is "tRNA-Tyr". It matches the Rfam family "tRNA". From Rfam's summary of the family: Transfer RNA (tRNA) molecules are approximately 80 nucleotides in length. The record is from RNAcentral. Lineage: Eukaryota; Metazoa; Chordata; Mammalia; Eulipotyphla; Erinaceidae.